UGCCAGCAGCCGCGGUAAUACGGAGGGUGCAAGCGUUGUUCGGAAUUAUUGGGCGUAAAGGGGAGGCAGGUGGUCUCGUAUGUCUGAGGUGAAAUCCCUGAGCUUAACUCAGGACGUGCCUUGGAAAUGGCGAGACUAGAGUCCCGGAGAGGGUCGUGGAAUUCCCGGUGUAGCGGUGAAAUGCGUAGAGAUCGGGAGGAACACCAGAGGCGAAGGCGGCGGCCUGGACGGGAACUGACACUGAACUCCGAAAGCGUGGGGAGCAAACAGGAUUAGAUA
This 279-nucleotide ribosomal RNA is filed under the name uncultured bacterium. RNAcentral's name for it is "partial 16S ribosomal RNA". It matches the Rfam family "Bacterial small subunit ribosomal RNA", at positions 506 to 784 of the family's 1533-position model. The record is from RNAcentral.